AAAUUGAAGAGUUUGAUCAUGGCUCAGAUUGAACGCUGGCGGCAGGCCUAACACAUGCAAGUCGAACGGUAACAGGAAGCAGCUUGCUGCUUCGCUGACGAGUGGCGGACGGGUGAGUAAUGUCUGGGAAACU
This 133-nucleotide ribosomal RNA is filed under the name Escherichia coli. RNAcentral describes it as "partial 16S ribosomal RNA". It matches the Rfam family "Bacterial small subunit ribosomal RNA", at positions 1 to 126 of the family's 1533-position model. RNAcentral also lists the same sequence under 11 other names. The record is from RNAcentral. Lineage: Bacteria; Pseudomonadati; Pseudomonadota; Gammaproteobacteria; Enterobacterales; Enterobacteriaceae.